Molecule: ribosomal RNA, 442 nt
Filed under: uncultured bacterium
Lineage: Bacteria
Description: partial 16S ribosomal RNA
Rfam family: Bacterial small subunit ribosomal RNA
Source: RNAcentral
CCUACGGGUGGCAGCAGUGGGGAAUAUUGGGCAAUGGACGCAAGUCUGACCCAGCAACGCCGCGUGAAGGUAGAAGGCUUUCGGGUUGUAAACUUCUUUUAAGGGGGAAGAGCAGAAGACGGUACCCCUUGAAUAAGCCACGGCUAACUACGUGCCAGCAGCCGCUGCAAUCCGUCGGUGGCAAGAGUUGUCCGGAUUUACUGGGUGUAAGGGACGUGCAGCCGGAGAGACAAGUCAGAUGGGAAAUCCACGGGCUCAACCCGUGAACUGCAUUUGAAACUGUUUCCCUUGAGUGUCGGAGAGGUAAUCGGAAUUCGUGGUGUAGCGGUGAAAUGCGUAGAUAUAAGGAAGAACACCAGUGGCGAAGGCGGAUUACUGGACGAUAACUGACGGUGAGGCGCGAAAGCGUGGGGAGCAAACAGGAUUAGAUACCCGUGUAGUC